RNAcentral lists this long non-coding RNA (16947 nucleotides) under Populus tremula. RNAcentral describes it as "long non-coding RNA (PTRE_LNC002621)". The record is from RNAcentral. Lineage: Eukaryota; Viridiplantae; Streptophyta; Magnoliopsida; Malpighiales; Salicaceae.
UUUGCUGAUAAAUCAUAUUUAACCUUCAAAUUGGAAGGCAAUAUUGAUUUAAUGCACAAAGUAGAUCAUAGUACACAGAGAUCCUAGUACACAGAGAUCGCAUGAUUCAAGAUAUUGCUAGACAGCAUGCCAUGAAUAAAAUGUACUUGCUUUUCACAUCAUCUAAAAGGCAACAUGCCAUUCUCAAUUUGUUGAUCUUAUGUAGAGCGAACAGGCCUCUUUAAAGUAUUAAAUAUCAAAUUACUACUUUUUUUUAUUUUUUUUUAAAGAGCAAGAUUUUUCUUAAGAAAAAAGUCAAUUUAUUAAAGGAGUUAGCCAAAAGUAGCCAAAAGCAAGAGAUAAGAAAAAAGAAAAACAGAGAAGAAAAUAGAAUAAGAUAAAAACAGCAAGCAUACAAAAAUAAAAAAUAAAAAGCCAAACAAAUACAAAUAAAAAAAGGGGCAUCAAGACUUAAAGAACUAAUGUAUUACGCUUAAAGCUUUCAUUUGGUGUUGUUAGACCAAUCUCUAAUAUUUUUAGGCUCCAUAAGUAAAUUGAUUUCGGUAGUUAUUAAGAACUUAUUUGCAGACUUGAAUCAAUUUAAGAAAUAAUAUAAAAUUAAGGGAAAGUUGCUUUCGAAGGUUACGAUUCCAUAAUUGAAAAUAACCUUGUUCCUUAUAAGCCAUAUACUCUAACUAACACAACAAGAAAACAUAAGGAAUUUCCCACUUAGGCUUAGUGCAUUGGGUUGAUCCGUAACAAAAAAUUGCAAUUGAAUAUUUACUUAUAUCAAGUAGUUUUUUAAGUCAUCCUUUCUAAUUAUACAACAUUAUUCAAUUAAUAAGAGAAAAUGAAGGAAAUUGGAUAAAAACUUGAAGAUAUUUUUUGACGGAAUCUAACAUAACACAUCUAUUUUGUUUGACUAAUAUCUUUCUCAUCUAUAUUUUACUUAUAAUUUUCAGCCUUCUUGAAGAAAAAACAGAGCAAAAUAGGUGCAUGAAUCGAGGUUAAGUUAUUCACCUUGUCGUGGCUUAAAGUUUUUCAAGAGAAAUAUAACCAAGCAUGGAUGAAACAGAGUGAAGUUGUAAUAUGCUGAAACUUUUGGUUUGGAAAAAGUGUUUUUUUUUUAAUAGUUAAGGUGUUUUAUUUCAAAGAUCUGUCUAUCAUUGAGACAAUGGUAUCCCGGUUACAAUAAAAUUAUGAAAAAUACUAGUAAAAGCAUUGAUUUACAAAGAUUAAAGAAGAAUGCAAAAAAUAUACACAAAAAAAAUUGAAAUGUAAAAAUAUUGGGUCAUCACUUAUUUUUCCACUUCAAAACGCCAUCCAAACUUCUAAAUAGAUCAUUCCUAGUACAUGAGAAAUUUGCAUCCAUAACCUUCAACCAAAGAGACAAACAAUGAAGAAUAAGCUCAAACAUUGUAUUCUAAACUUGCAUAAUAUCCUUAAAAAUAAGUUUGUUAAUUUCUCGCAUUCCAAAUGUUCCAUAAAAUCCCAUAAGACAACAGAACAAGUGCUUGUCGCUGGAAUUAAUCUACCUUUUACUAGAUCGCUCUAUUGCAAAAGAACUUGAUCAAGGAAGAGAGGAAAAAGGAAGAAGAAGCAAGAGCAGUAAAAGAGGAAGAAGGAAGAACACAUAAGAAGUGAAAGUUAGAGUUAAGGUUUCUAAGGUCAGAUAUUGAUGUUUUUUUUGUGCUUGAAUAUGUUGGUUAACUUUGAUUUUAGGGUUUCAAUUAUUUAAGAUGUUUAAUUAAUGUUUUAGGUGUUAUUUUGGCUUAAAUCAUUUUAUAUGAGGUCAGGAAUUUUAGGUUUUUGUGGAAUAUGCUAAUUAUUUUUAAGAUCUACAGUUUGGAAGACUAGCAGAUCGGGAUUCUGUACUCCUGAUAAACCAGUUAGUUGGUUGGACUGAACUGGUCGAGCAAUUAACUUGAUUGUUCCGGUUGACUGGUUGGUUAAUGUCGGUCGAUUAUUUUAUUUGAUAGUCUCGGCUAACCGGUUAACCAAGUAGUAGGGGUUGAUUAGUUCUUUCAGUUUGAGAGACAUUCAAGAUCAAUCGGGUGGAUCUAUUUUGGUUUUAUAAUUACGUUUUGGUCUCUAAUAUUAGAGUUGAAAUCUUUUAUGUUAUUUACUUUGAUUUUUAUUUUAUUUUUUUUAUUCAUUAUAUGUUCUGCUGAUGUUUCUCUUAACGAUCUUCUAUAAUCUCCAAUUCUAUGUAUGUUUGUCUUUUGCUUUUAUUUUCCAAGUAAGUGGAAUAAUUUUUAAUAUGCAUAUAAUAUAAACAUGAAUAUAUUGAUUAUAUGAUAAGUACAAAUAGUUAUUUCUUAAAUAUCUAUAUAUCUUGCUUUAUUUCUCAAGUACUCAUCAAUUCUUGAAUUUGCAUUCAUAUUCUGUUGAAUUAAAUUCUAUUUGAUAUGUUCAUUUGCUUUGAUAAUUAUGUGAUUAUCUAUUAUGGUUUGAUGUCGAGAUACUUGUCAGAAACUUUAUACUAACGAAGGGUAGUUAGUUUAUGUGCACAUAAUAGUCUAUUUAUCUAGCCGAUGAGAGAGGCACCAACUUAUAAGGACUGACCGCAAACCUCAUAUGUUAUCAUAACCAUAUGCUAAUAUGCUUUGUGUGUGUGUGUGUAUAAUAUUUAUUAUUUUUACUAUUAUAUCUAUGAUGUAUAUUAAAUAUUAUUUAUUCACUAAGCUGGUUGUGCUUACCCCUCUUUAUUAAUAUUAUUUUUAGGUUUUUAGCUUCUGUUAAUAGGUUAAUUUUGUUGAGAGUUUUAAUUGUUUCCUUUGUGGGUAUAACUUUCUUGCUCCUGCGAGACUUUUCUUCUUAUCCUUUUUUAUUCGAUGUCUUAGACACUCUACUAUUAUACUGUUUUAUUUAAAGUUUGGAUUUUUAUAUUGUAAUAAGUAUUAUGAAGUAUUAUUUGAUUUUAUGGGUUUGUGGAAUAUUUUGAAAGUUUAUGAAAUGCUGAAAAUAUUUAUAUAAUUUGGUUCACGAGAAGCAUAUUUGAGGUUUAACAUAGAUGGGGUGUCCUGAUAACACUAAUUCUACAUUGUUGAUCAUGUACCCAGAAUUCAAGUCGCGAAAGAAGUUGUGAACUUCACAAAAACAAAUUGACGUGGAAAGUGGUUUGUAUCAACUUUAAUUAAGGUGGAUGUUUUUACGUGAAUGAUGUUGAUUCUAGGGAUUUAGCCCUAAUACAUGAAAAUUGAUUUAAAAAAAUUACUAUAUACAUCCAAACUAACUAAAAAUAUAUAUAAAUAAGUCAUGAAAAAACUUAAUGAAUUGACAAACAUUAAUUCCACUCAGUAAGUACAAGGUGCAUAAAGAUAUCUUCAAAGAAAAACAAAAAGGUUUGGAGACAUCAAUCAAAAAAGAUGAAAAAGAGUUAUAGUAAACACAAAGAUAAUAAAUGUACCAGUUACCAUAUAUUAUUUCGUUAGAGGUUGGAGAAAUCUUUAUGGAUUUUUUUAAUAAAAUAAUGCACUUUUCUUUCUUGAAUUGGAGUGAGGUUAACCCAAUAGUCUAUCAAGGUGUGACUUGCUUAAUGAGCUUAGCUGGUUAUAGAUCAAUGUUGGAUCGGGUUUUUGAAUUCCAUUCCAAUUUGUAUAGAGCUAAAAGCUUGGUUAGUACCAGUUAUGAUGCCACACUUUCAUUUUGGCUUUUUUAAUUAGCUUAAUGUUGCAACAUUUUUUAGGUUAGACCCAAAUUGUAAGUAGAUUUGAUGGAAGACAAAAAAAAAUUAUGUAGCAUGUCAUCUCAAUAGAGAAUUAUAAGAAUAUUUUAUUCUUAUCAUAUCAGCUCGAAACAUAGUAUAUACAUAUCGUGUACAACAUACGCUAGCUUCAUAUGAUCUCCUAACCACACUUCCUAUCUCAUUGUUCCUCAUAAAUAUAGACUUUAAUUUAUUACAUAUACUAUACUAUAUAAAUAUCCAUUUAUAUAAACAUAUUAUUACAACAUAUUUGUGAACAAAAUUUUAUAGCAAAUGAAUAAAGCAAAGAUAGUGUUUAUCCCUUUACUUAGUAUAUGUUAUAUUGUAUCGGUAGUGAAGACUACUAAGCUUCUUGUUGAAUGUGAUAAUCGAAUUUCAACAUCUAUCUUUCUAAUCAAGCCAAUUCUUGACUCUAUGACCAUCAACUACCUUGAUUCACUUGCUGCAUCAACUUUGCCCAAAUGUAUACAACUCAUUGAUUUACCCAUUAAUGAGCCCCAAUCAUCUAAUGAUAAUUGGGUUACUUACUGUUGAAAUAAAAUAGGUGUGGUAGGUGUUUAUGGACAACAAAACAAUAAACAAAACUAAAGAACAAGAAAACUUUUUGAGAGGAAAAUAAUCUUUUUAAGUGUUUUUGUCUUGUGCCUUCCUCUCUACACACCUUGAAUUAUUCUUCUGAUUAAAAGCCUAUUUUAGGCAUGAAGUCCUAAACAACCAAUGAAUUAAACUACUUAAAGGAAAUUCUAAUCUGAAUAGUAAACAUAUUUUGCCAACAUAAUCGGUCGAUUGAUUCCUUUAAUUUAACUGGUCGACCGGUUUUCAACUAAUAUACCAGUUCCUUUAUUUUUUAGAAUAAUCAAAAUCUGGUUUAAUUUUAACACCCCUUCUUAAACUUGAUUUUUUUUUUUUAUAACUCCCAACAUGUCUUUCAUCUUGGAAAAAAUAUCAUGUUUGGCUGGCUUAAUGAUAUUGUGUGAGACUUGAUUUUGGGUUUUUAUAUACUCAACUUUAACUUUCUUGUCUGUAAUGCAAUCUUGUAAGUAAUGAAAUCUUAUGUCAAGUGAUUACUUCUUUCAAGAAACACUAGAUUCUUUGUUAAUGCAAUGACUGAUGAGUUGUCCAUAUAAAUUUUUGUAGGGUUCUCUUAUGACAUUCACAACUUCUUCAAUAAUCUUCUUAACCAUAUAGAAUGAUAAACACAUGUUGUAGUAGCUACAUAUUCAACUUCACAAGUUGAUAAUGUGACUAUAGGUGGUUUUUUUGUUCUCUAUAAAUGUUGUGUCUUCCAUGUAGAAAACAAAACCUGUAAUUUUUUUUUUUUAUCAUACAUAUCUUUAACUUAAUCAUUAUCAUUAUAAAUCACAAGUUCAAAGCUAUUAGAAUAUCAAUAAAACAAGUCAAAAUCAAUAAUAUAUUUGAUAUACCAAAGAAUUCACUUUAAAGUUUUGAAAUGUGUCAUGGUUGGUGUAUCCAUAAACUUGUUUACAAGUCUUACUCCAAAAAGAAUAUCUGGACAUGUGCAUGUAAAGUAUCUCAAACUAGGCUUUUAAAUGUUAUAGAGUUUAUUUAUCUUCUCUCUAUCAUUCUUUAACAUAUUUAAUCCACACUCAAUUAGAGUAUUCACUUUUAUACAAUCCUUUAUUUUAAACUUCUUAAUAAUCUUUUUUGCAAACUUCUUUUGAUUCAUAAAGAUUUUAUCUUCUCCUUGCUUUAUUUCAAUCCCUAAGUAAUAUGUCAUCAAACAAAUAUCUAUUAUCUCAAACUCCUAGAUCAUUGCUUGUUUGAAGUCUCUUAAUAUUUUUGGAUUAUUUCUUGUAAAUAUCAAGUAAUCUACAUACAAGCAUACAAUAAGAGUAUCACCAUUCUCUUUUAUCUUUACAUAGAUAGAAUAUUUAAGAAAUUCAUUCUUUAAGAAACAACCAUUAAUGUGACUAUACCAAACCCUUGAGGCAUGCUUUAAUCCAUAGAAGAUUUUAUUUAACUUUAAACCCUUAUCUUCAUGUUCCUUUACUUCAUAACUCAUUUGUUGCUCAAUGUAGACCUCCAUUUCAAGAAAGACAUUUAGAAAAGCUGAUUUAACAUACUUUUGCUAGAUUUUUCAUCUAUGUUUGGCAAUUAUGACAACGAUUAAUUGAAUGGUUUCCAAUCUAGCAACUAGAGCAAAUACCUCAUUAUAGUUAAUCUCAUACUUUUGACUAUAGUCCACUUCUCCUUUGACAUUUUCUUUUUCUUUAUAGAUUCACUUGACACCUAUUGGCUUCUUUCCUUUUGGUUUAGGAACCAAUUUUUAUGUUAUUUUUCUCAAUUGAUACAAUCUCCUCAUCCAUAACAAUUCUCAAUUUUUCAUCAUUUAUUGCUUCUUCAAAUACUAAAUGAUCACAUGUAGCAAGGUAAUAAUUUAGUGUUACAUCAUCAUUAAUAUAAUUAGUUACUUCAUACAAGUCAUCAAGGCUUUUCAUCUUUCUUGGUGGACUAGGUGGGCUGCCAAUAUUGAAGUUAAACUCUUAAAAAUAUCUAAAAGUAAAUACAUUUUUAAAAAUAUCUAAAAUAAAAACUAUGGUAGUCGUAAUCACUCUUAAAAGUAAAAUCCUUGGAAUUGUAUUCCAAACAACAUUUCUUGAAAAUUUUAAUUUUUUUCUUUUUAAAAUUAAUUUUUUAAAAUUUUGAAUUAUUUUAAUGUACUAAUAUAAAAAAUUAAAAAAAUAUAUUAAUUUAAUAUAUUUUUAAAUAAAAAAAUACUUUAAACAACCCUUGUGUAUCCGAGAAUAACCACUCAGCAAGAUACUCUCUUGCCGUCCAGAGAAAAAACAAAUUUGACAAUUGUCCAAAUGAUGUUGGCAGUAUAUAGUAAGUCGUGGGCAUGACAGCAAAGCCAUGACCUCACUUUAAGGCUACGUUUGGUAAUUAACGGGAGUGCACCUUAGCAUGACGAACUAAUAAAAUGCCAUGCAAAGCUCAAACACAGACGUCUCUCACAGCCACAAAAAAAGUAGAAUUGUUUGCAAACUCAUUGAAGCCUCCUGCAAAAUGAAGAACGCUGAGCUAGUCUUCAUUCCAGCACCAAUUAUAGGUCACUUUGUAUCCGCAGUAGAGGUAGCCAAGCUCCUUUUAGAACGUGACGAGAGGCUUUCAAUCACCUUCCUCGUCAUGAAAUCAAGUUUAAGCACCAAGAGUGCUCGUAGCUACAAUGAUUCAGUGAUUGCAGCCUGCGGUCGUAUCCGGUUCAUUCACUUGCCUGAAGUUGAGCUUGAUCCAAACCUACCCAGCAGGUUUUUCAUUUCUUUGAAUGAAGCCCAAAAAGCUCAUGUCAAAGAAGAAGUCUCUAAGCUUGUGUUCGCGUCCAAGUCAAGCCCUGACUCGCCUCGACUUGCUGGGUUUGUUCUUGAUAUGUUUUCUACAUCAAUCAUAGAUGUGGCCAAUGAAUUUGGUGUUCCCUCUUAUAUUUUCUUUACAUCCACAGCAGCUUUUCUUGGUACUACGCUCUAUAUUCAGGCUCUCCAUGAUGAGCAGAAAGUUAACCCUACUGAGUUCAAGAACUCGGAUGUUGAAUUGGUCAUGCCGUGUUUGGCGAGUCCCUUUCCAGCAAAAUUUUUACCAUAUUUGGUACUUGGCAAAGAUUUGCUGCCUCUUUUUCUUCGCCUGUUUAGAAGGUUCAGAGAAGCCAAGGGAAUUAUGGUAAAUACAUUUUACGAGCUGGAAUCUCAUGCGAUCAACUCUUUCUCUGAUGGUAAUUAUCCUCCUGUUUAUCCAGUUGGUCCCCUUUUGAACCUCAAUGGCCAUGAACAUGAUGUGGUGUCAGAUAGAAAAGAUACUCACAGGGAUAUCAUGCAAUGGCUUGACCAACAGCCUUCAUCCUCUGUAGUCUACCUGUGUUUUGGGAGUAUGGGAAGUUUCGGUGUGGAGCAAGUGAAAGAGAUCGCAUGUGGAUUGGAGCAAAGUGGACACCGAUUCUUAUGGUCUCUACGUCAACCUCCACCAAAUGGCAAGAUGGAAGCUCCGAGUGAUUAUGUGAAUCCUGCAGAAGUCUUGCCUGAAGGGUUCUUGAUCGAACAUCCGAGAUCGGAAAAAUAAUAGGAUGGGCCCCACAGGUGGACAUCUUGGGUCACCCAUCCAUAGGAGGAUUUGUAUCGCAUUGUGGGUGGAAUUCUACGCUGGAAAGCAUAUGGUUUGAUGUUCCAAUGGCUACAUGGCCAAUGUAUGCUGAGCAGCAAUUUAAUGCUUUCCUAAUGAUCGUUGAGUUCGGCUUAGCAAUAGAAAUUCAAGUGAACUAUAGAAUGGAUGAUUGUGAAGUUGUUAGGGCUGAGGAAAUAGAGAAAGGAAUAAGGGGUUUAAUGGAGUUUGACAUCAAGAAAAGGGAGAAGUUGAAGGAAAUAAGCGAGAAGAGUAGGAAGGCUUUGAUGAAAGAUGGAUCCUCGUCCACUUGGUUAGAUCGUGUGAUUCAAGAUAUGAUAGACAACAUGGCAUGAGUAAAAUGUACUUGCUUUUCACAUUAUCUAAUAAACAACAUUUGUUGAUCUAGUUUGGUCGCCAGUUUCCUUAUUAGCAUACGCGAGUUUUUUUAUAUAUAAAAUAUUAGAGAUUUAUUAACCAACUAUUAUAGCCAUUAAAAAUAUAGCUUAACAGAGAACAUAGUAGUAAAAAAAUUUAAAGGAGUGAGAAAAAUUACUUAUAAAACUAAACCUAUAAUCAUAAUCAAGCAUAAUAUCAUUAAAUCAAAAUGAUCAUUUUUAAGAACUCAUUGCUUGGCCAAAUGAUCUGUUUCAUGAUUAUUCUUUCUAUGAACAUGUUCCAACACACAGAAGAAAGCUUAUAACAUGCUUUGAUAAUAUCAUUAAACUCAGUUUGCAAGUGUCAAGGCAACAUAACAUUUUCUUUUUCCUUUAAUCCAAGUAAUGAUAUUGUAAGAAUCGUACUCCAUAACCCAUUCAUAUGUAGAAGCAUAGCAUUAGUCAGUAUUUAAAAGCAUAGCUUUUGAAUUGCCAAGACAUCUACUUUAUUAGAUUUGUUGUUAUCCAUUUUAGAACCCCACAUAAAUAUACAACAUAUAGAGGGAAAAAAAUAGAAUUUUUUGGAAAAAAAUAAAGAACUAUAUAUCGAUAAGAAGAAUAUAUUGAAACACUCAAGAAAUUGCCAAAGACUAGUUAAUUAAAGGAUCAAAAUACCAAAAGUUGAAAAUGUAACGACAUAUUUUAGACUGAUGAAGGCUUUGUUAGCUAGGGAAAAUCAAUUCAAGGAGUCAAUUAGAAUUUAAUGUUUAAGGACUCAAUUAGAAUUUUUCAAAGUUUAAUUGAAUUUAUUAAGGUAUUAAUUAGAAGAAUGGUUGAUUUUUUAAGUCAAUUUAGGCUUUAAUUGAAAGAAAUUGAAGUCUGAUUGUCGAAUUGCAAUUUUAGAGAGUCAAUUUGGUUAAAUCAGAAACAUAAUUGUAUAAAUAUUAAAGUUUGAUGAGUAAUUAGGGACUUGAUUGAAGAAAUCCAAAAGCAAGGACCAAAAUGAAAAAGACGCGUGAAUAUAAGGUUUAAAAUUGAUCAAAUUAGGGGCCAAAUUGAAAACAAUUGAAAGGUUGAUAGUCACUUAAGGUUCAAAAUGCACAAAUCAAAAACCAAUGACCAGGAUGAAAAAGACAUUGAACUUUGGGGUGAUAAUUGAGUUUGACAAGGGUGAAGUUGCGUGAAAUUAAAAGUUUGAGAGGCAAUUAUAGGUACAAUUAAAAGCAAUUGAACUAAUAAGGACUAAAAUGAAGUUUUUCAAAUCUGAAAUUAAAAUAAGUAAGCCAACCUCCUAGAUCACACAACCCUAAAAACAAGAUGUUAUUACAUGAGUGAACAUUUUAAUUUAAGACAAUUAACCCUUUUUCACAUAUACAAAGAUUAAUAAAUUUGAUGAAUCAAUAUAGAUUUGAAAAACUAACAAUUUAACUCUAAUUAAAAAUCUUAAUAUUUCCAUAUAUAUGGUAAGGAUCAUAACUGAAGCUUAAUUAAUCUCAUAAAUCAAUUUGAAAUUAAAUCUUAAAUAGUAUAAGGAGGUUUUUUUUAUGAAGUUUAAAAUUAAACAUUAACUAUAAGUAUGUGGAACUUUACCCUAUAUUCAUAACAAAGAGGUCCCCUAAUUAAAAUCUCUUGUGCUAAUGAGCAAUGGAAACUUGUUAUAAGUGUAUAUUUAUCUACAUGCAUGAUAACAUCAUGUUUUAAAUUGUGUUUGACUUGAAAAAACAUUAUUUUUAUAUUUUUUUUCAAGCCACACAUAGUUUGAACUAUAUAGAUAAGCAUAGCUUUAAAUAAAUUCAUUAAAUAGUAUGGACAUACCUUUCCACAUGCUACCUAGGGCUAGGACUUUCAUAGAUCAUGGGCACAUUAAUAUUUUCUAAUUAAUAUAUCAUUAUGCAAAAGAACAGAGCUAUUUUCUCGACCAUUAUUCCUUACUUGUAGAAUGGCUAGAUGAUCAUCUAUUAGGCAUAUAAAUUGUGAUGGUUGUUGAAAUACAAUUACUUUCUAACAAUUCUUUUUCAUAUUGCAAUAGUUUAUGUCUUUGAAUUCGGGGAUGAAAAACAUAAGAGAGGCAUUCAGCUAGCCGAGGACUCUACCUGGUGCCAGUAUCUGGCCUAUAGAUGUUAGGGCUAAUCGAUUUUAUUUAUUUUUACUAGCCUUCUUGCCCAUUAAUUUUAAAUCAUUUGGUAACUAUAAAAUUGUUACAACGAUGAACGCUUGAUUUCCUUUCAGUUUUGAAUCUAAAUGGGUACUAAGAUUUGAUUUGGUCUUUAUUUUUCGAAACUAGUUUUUAAGGUUAGCCUUCCAUUAUGAGUGGUCUGAAACAAGCGUCUUCCAAUUUCCUUGCCAUAAUUUUGAAGGCUCUAGAAAUGGAUAAUUGCAUUAUGAAAAAAAGAUGUAAGAACUCUUAUUUUAGAAAGAAAUUAGAAUAGUCAUUGUUAGAUUAAUUAAGUUGUUUGAUUUAACAUUAGGUUUAAUUAUGCCAACUCACCUUUAAUUUUUGUUUCUUAUUUGAUAAUAAAAAUUAUUUUCAAAUCAAUUUACAUGUCAAUUAAAAUUAAGUUUUUUUCUCGUAUGAUAUUAAAAAUACACCAUGUAGUCUAAUAAAUUCAAGAUAAUAAAUUAUUUUAAAAUUUGAAUCCAAAAAAUUAAAAAAGUAAGCCAACCUCCUUGAUAACAUAACCUUGGAAAACAAGAUGUUAUUACAUGAGUGAAUAUUUUAAUUGAAGACAAUUAACCCUUUUUCACAUAAACAAAGAUUAAUAAAUUUGAAUGAUCAAUAUAGAUUUGAAAAACUAACAAUUUAACUCUAAUUAAAAAUCUCAAUGUUUCCAUAUAUGUGAUAAGGAUCAUAACUGAAGCUUAAUUAAUUUCAUAAGUCAGUUUAAAAUUAAAUCUUAAAUAGUAUGUGGAGUUUUUUUUUUAUAAAGUUUAAGAUUAACUAUUAACUAUAAGUAUGUGGAGUUUUUUUUUAUGAAAUUUAAGAUUAAACAUUAACUAUAAGUAUGUGAAACUUUACUCCCUAUUCAUAACAAAAAGUUCCCUAAUUAAAAUCCCUAAUUAAAAUCUCAUGUGCUAUUGAGCAAUGGAAACCCAACAGUAUCAAGGUGGAACUUCAAAACCUGAAAUGGAGGUAAUUCAUUUUCACGCUCUAUUUUUCCAUGUAUGCAUGGACAUGUUUAUAUUCCAUAAAGCUAAGAAAAAAAAGUUUUACCAUCAUUUUUUUUUUUUGGAUAAUCUUACUAUCAUUUCUUGUUUGUCCCAAAAUACUUGUUUGAAUUUACUUAUAAUUAUCAAAUCUAGUCCUGCUUGAUUCAAUAUCUAAAUCAUCAUAAAAAAAAUCCUCAUAAACUGAGCCAAGUUUUUUUAUAAAAAAAUAUUAUUUCAGAAUUGACCCAUGACUUGAUCAAAAUUGUAAUUUAUUAUUAAAAUAGUUUUAAAAAAAUUAAAAUAAUAUCAUUUUGAUUGACUUUGAUCAAUCUAGAUUAACAUAAUCAAUUUGUGAACCAAGUCAUGUACUAGACCGAGUUUAAAAACUAAAUCAUUUGAGUUUUUUAUUUUUUUAAAAAAAAUAGAUUUAAUUUAUUUUUUUCAAUUCUAUGAAGAUAAUUUUGAAGAAUUUAGAUAAAAUAUAGAUGGUGAGACGAAACAUGUAUUAACUUCUUGCUUGUUUUUCUAUAAACAUCACCAUAAUUAUAUUCAAUCUCUGGAUUGAAAUCAAAUGAGAAUCCAACUGAUAGUCCUAUUUAUUGUUCUGAAUGAAGAGAUCAGAGUUGGUGUUUAUACCUUCACCGGGUAUCGGCCAUGUUACAUCAACGGUGGAGUUGGCACGGCUACUUGUCAACCGAGACGAACGAUUCGUAGUGACAAUCAUCUUGAUGAAGCUACCCUUUGACGAGAAAUUCACAAGCUACUGCAAAUCACUCACUGAGUCAACUAUUUCUAACAAUAUCAAGUUCCUUGACCUCCCUCUUCUUGAACAAGCUUUAGAUAUGAAGGCAAAAGACAUUUUAGCUUUCUACAUGGAAACGUACAAGCCUUUAGUCAAAGAAGCUCUGGCUCAGCUCAUUGAGUCAUCCACCUCAAGCCCUGAUAAGCCGCCUCGACUCAUCGGUCUCCUGGUUGAUAUGUUCUGUGUAACAAUGGUAGAUGUGGGCAAUGAUUUUGGACUGCGCAGCUAUGUGUUCUUCACUUCAGGUGUAGGUUAUUUGAGUCUCUUGUUUUCUAUGCAAACCAUGAAAGAUGAGCAAAAUGUGGACUCAACCCAGUUCAAAGACUCGGAUACUGAGUUGGUGAUAUCAAGUUUUGCUAAACCAAUUCCUGCUAGGGUUUUGCCUUCUAUGUUUCUUAACAAAGAUGUUGUUCCUGGCUUCUUAAAUUUUGCAAGAAAAUAUAAGCAAACGAAAGGUAUUGUGGUCAACACUUUCUUGGAGCUGGAAUCCCAUGUAAUGAGCUCAUUUUUUGAUGGCUUGACCCUUCCGGUAUACCCAUGAGUGGGCCUAUUUUGAAGCUCCAACGUGAUGAAGGUGACAAAGGGUUAGAUAGGGCUCGUGAGAAAGAGGAGAUCAAGAAGUGGCUUGAUGAUCAACCUCCAUCAUCAGUGGUGUUCUUGUGUUUUGGAAGCAUGGGAAGCUUUGACGAGGAUCAAUUGCAAGAGAUUUCAAAGGCAUUAGAACAUAGUGGCCAUCGAUUUUUAUGGUCCCUACGUCGAGCUCCACCAAAGGGUACGAUUGUAUUCCCUAGUGGUUAUGAUAAUCCAAAGGAAAUAUUGACGGAUGGAUUCUUGGAUCGAACGUCUAUGGUUGGAAAAAUCAUUGGAUGGGCUCCACAAACAGACAUCUUGGCUCAUCCAGCAGUUGGAGGAUUUGUAUCGCAUUGUGGAUGGAAUUCUAUACUAGAAAGCCUAUGGUUUGGUGUGCCAAUUGCUGCCUGGCCAAUAGAUGGGGAGCAACAGUUAAAUGCCUUUCAAAUGGUGGUUGAGUUAGGUUUAGGAGUGGAAAUUAAAUUAGAUUAUAGGAAGGAUUUUUUGAGUGAUGAUGAAGUUAAAAUGGUGACUGCUGAGGAGAUAGAAAGAGGUAUAAACAGUUUGAUGCAGAGUAAUAGUGAAAUAAAGAGAAAUGUGAGAGAGAUGAGUGAAAAGAGCAAGAAAGCCUUGAUGGAAAGUGGAUCUUCACACACUUCAUUUGGUCAUUUUAUUGACAAUUUGAUGAGCUAGUUCUUCCGCUGCAACAUUAUAUUAGGUGCUCUUAGCAGAGGUUUUUUUCUUUGUUCUUUUCCCUUUAUUUUGGAUAAUAGUCCUCUGUGUAAUUUGAAGUUGUGUUUGGUUAAUAUCUCAAAAUAAAUAUAAAAAAUAUAGAAACAUGUUUAGUUGAAAAAUAUAAAAAUAAAUUUAUUUCUAUUAUAGUUUUCAAAUAAAUUAUAUCAUAUAAAAAGAGAAGGAUAGAUGAACAUAUUGUCUCUUUCUCUUGUCUCUUUUUAUCCUAGAACAAUAACUAUUCGCUGCCUAGAUAAAUCAAUUUCAAAAAUAAUACCAAUGGAUGAUGAUAUUUCCCUAUUAAUUACUCUCUAAUAAAUCUGUACCAUAUAAUUGGUGUUUUGCAAUUCUCUUUUUCUGAAAUUUUAUUCUUUUUUUUUUCUAUUGCUUCUUGAAAAAAGGAGAGAAGCAAUGCCAGACAUCUGGAUCAGUUAUCUCAAUACAUAUCGUGUGAAUAAUCUCCCCGAUCAGCUUGCAUAAUAGUGAUCUAUACUCGGCGAAAAAUUAAAUCAGAACCUCUGAUAUAUUGGUCUGAUGUAAUAUUCUAACCUGUUUUUUGUAUAGAUUGAGGUUAAUAACGAUCAACUUUAAGGACUUCUGAUAUGCUCCUAGAAAAUGUCAAACAAUGAUGCAGCACUACUACUGUUAGACUAGAGGAGAAGGUAUGAGGACAGGGAUACUGUAUUCAUUCACACGUUUCUCGAAAUCUUUUGAUCUGUUUGUCUACCGGCAGCAUCCUGUGAUCUGCUGUGUCUGUAUUUGAUCAAGAAGUGACAACAAAAUUGCUGAUGUUGUUAUUGCAGCCCAGGGAAGCGUCAGAUUUUGACCUGGCCAGGUAAAUCUAACAAAGCAGUCCAAUAUGUCUGCUAAGCAUAGAUUUGGAUGUUUGUUCUGUUUCUUCCAAAUGGACGAACACAUACGAUGCCUAAAUUUUAUACCACUGAACAAUUACCGAUGAGAGCAAGAUCCUAGUCUUGAUAGCAACGCAUACAGGUGGUUCGUUUGUUGAGUGGCAAGUAAAAACCAUUGUUCUAAAACAUGAUCUGACCUUGCUGAUCAAUUCAGUUAUCUGCCGAAUAGAAUUCUAGCCCAGGUCAUGUUUUAUAUCGAUCCAUGUUUGAGAGUUCCCCGUGUAAAACCUCAUCAAUUUUAUCAAAAUCAUUAUUAGGCAGACUAGUCUUGAUAAUAACACAUACAGGUGGCUCAUACAAGAGUCUUUAUUUUUCCAUUUUUUUGAGCUUUGGAUUGAUUAGACUAAUUUUGGAGAGAUUUAAGUCAGUGAUUAUUUUAGAUAAAAUAAACAUUCUAUUAUACUAAAGGGUGGUCUUCUCCCAUUUAUAUCAUUAUAUCACGCAUGCAGUUGAGGCCACCGAAGAGCAAAAAAUGUAGACUUAAUUCUCAAGAACAUAAAGGGCCACAGCGAAAUAAAAAAAAAAAAAAGAAAAGAGUGUAUUGUCAUCACACAGACUCCGUACAACUCUUUUGAUUAUCAAAAUUGGCCAAUUUUUUAAUCCAAGACAAUGAAACGAAUGAAAGAGAUGACAUUUACAACACCAAGAAAGUGGUAGGCAAAGGGACUUUCUCUAUCUUCAUCAAGCCAAAGCUAAGUCAAUCAUAUCAGUACAAGAUUUAGGAGAAAAAGACGAGAAAAAGGACUUUAGAUAGCAAAAGCCUCAAGCCCAUUAGGGAAGGAGAGACAUACGACAAACUCCUAGAAGAAGAGAAACAUUAACCCCAAAUUGAAGUGCUCCAUUACUUUGCACUUUUGGAUGCAUAAAAUCAGCUGCCAGAAGAUCCACAAGUGCCAUGUAGAUUAGGAUACCAACUGACGCAGCAUUAAGAAUUCCUUCAACAAUAAGAGCAUUAGGACUGCUCUCUCUUUGGGGUUGUUAGAGACAAUAGCUUUGGUCUUGAAUUUUGCCUAGAAACAUCAAAACAAGUGUAUCAACAAACACAUAUAAUUAGAGAAAAUUUUCAAUUUUAGACUACAUAAAAAAAUAGGUAGCAUAUAUUGUUAGAAACAAAGCUAUGCCUUUACCUGAGCAAUGCAUCCACCAAUUCCCAUACCCUCAAACAAUUGAUGAAAGCUUAGAGCAGCCACUAGAGGUCUUAUUGUCUUGGGACUUGCAGAAGCUCCUAACGAAAUUCCUGUAAUCACAGAGUGCACCACAAUUCUCAACUCCAAAACCUACAGAACUUUAGUAAAUCUAUAAAUAAAGAAAACAAAAGAAUAACAGUUCCAAGUGCAUUCAUGUCAUCUCCUCUAAAAGUUUUUAGGUUUGAGCCUCUCCUUUGUAACAAAACAGAAACAAUUAUCGGUGUAAUAACCGGAUGGAGAAUAAGCUGAGAUGGACUAGAACCAGAACUAUCCCCUGAACCAUGAGAAUGGCCAUGGGUUGCAUGAGCAUGAACAUGAAUAUGAGCCUCUACCUCUGCCCUCUCCUCAUCCCCACUCUCCUCUAGAUGAGCCUUGUUGGGGUGCAACCUAGAUAAAUAAGAAGUUGCAAGACAAUCCACCAUUAAAGUCCCAAUGUCCGACACCAUCACCACAAACCCCGUGAAGGGAAAAUGACCCCAAGGACUUUUAGCAAUUGCUUCUAUCCUUGCUGCCGGUGCAAUUGGAGUUCAUCACAAAAGCUUUGAUGAUGAAGAAAAGAUAGUUUUUACAAGAACUGGAAGACAAACUCCAAUUGCUCGGCAGCAAGGAUAGAAGCAAUUGUUGUGGCUUUGUUUUUCAACACCUCCGAUUUAUUGGUUUCUUCUUCUCCCCCAUCACAUGUGCAUAGGGAGGCAAAGGAAUGUUAAAUAAAAGUGGUUAAAAUUCAGCAUGAUAAUUGGAUGAAGAGAAAAAAAUGUUAGCAGACUCAAGGAAAAGGGAAUGAAGAUGAAGGCUGGUUAUGUAUAUAGCGGGUUUAUGAGCUUUGAUUUAUGAAGCUAGAUUUAAUUAUGUCACUACAAAAGUAAUUUGCUCUAUUUUAUUUUUUUUUCUUCUUUUUAAAUAAUUUAUGAUGAGAACAGGCGUGUUUCUUUUCCUUGCACUUUAUGUGUUUCACCAGCUCCCUAUUUGGUGAAACACGUGGGAAGCUCGUUCUUUUAACAAUAUUUUCACACAGAAUCUGCGUCAAGAACUCUUCUUUAUAUAACAACACAGCCUGCCUAUAUCUUCAAUCCCUUUUCCUUCACUUUGCUGAUAAUCAUAUUUAACCUUCAAAUUGGAUCGAGAAAAGAUUUGUUAGCAAAGGAAAGGAAAAGGGAGUGAAGGAGAUGUAGGAAGGCAAUAUUGAUUUAAUGCACAAAGUAGAUCGUGGUGUCAACAAGUGAAAGAAGUGAAAAGAGGAGGAAGGCUUUAAUGAAAGGUGGAUCCUAGUACACAGAGAUCGCAUGAUUCAAGAUAUGCUAGACAGCAUGCCAUGAAUAAAAUGUACUUGCUUUUCACAUCAUCUAAAAGGCAACAUGCCAUUCUCAAUUUGUUGAUCUUAUGUAGAGCGAACAGGCCUCUUUAAAGUAUUAAAUAUCAAAUUACU